Molecule: long non-coding RNA, 2556 nt
Filed under: Nicotiana tabacum (common tobacco)
Lineage: Eukaryota; Viridiplantae; Streptophyta; Magnoliopsida; Solanales; Solanaceae
Description: long non-coding RNA (NTAB_LNC012364)
Source: RNAcentral
CUUCGUCUCGGCAAUAUGGAACCUCUCAACAGCUCCCGUUCUUUUAUGGGGUCCUAUCGGGAUAGGUAGGCCCAAGCCUUUCCCCUCCCCUCUCCCUCCAUAAGACCCUCUUUCUCUUUCCCUCUCGGGGAGAUGGAAUGAAAGAAGCAAUGAGAGAGCCUAAUUCCCUCCUGACCGAGUAUAAGCAUGUUCCAUUGGCCUUUAAGUCUUAAUUGAAAAAAAAUCCAAUUUGGGAUAACCCAAAACAUUAAGCCCAGACCCAUUCCGCAUUUGACCUAACCUAAUUACUACCCCGUAAAAUAACACUUAACACCUACAAUCUAGAGGACCCCCAGCCGUGACCCCUUUUCCCCAUCUUCAACACAAAAGACAAGCAUCAGCAUCUGAGAAAAAACGCUAGAACCUAAUUCCCAAAAUCCCAGCACCUGACCUCCCUUCUUCUAAAAUAAAAGAUGUCAAAAACAGGGGAGGAAUAUGAGAAUGAGAAUUGGAAAAACCAAAGGAGGCUUUGAGGAAAGAAACUAACGACACCGAGGAAAAGAAAGAAAGAAUUUGAGCUACAUAUUAGAAUUCUUUCAAUUAUAUAAGGAUAUUCAUCUGGAAAAGAAAUUAGGUGCUUGCUCUUGUGACCAAUGAUAUAUUAAAUUAAGGAGACGAGUUCAACUCCAGUCUGUUGCUUCAUAUUUUUCUCAAGAGUGGGAUCGUUUGGUUGGUUCGUUGGGCGUGGGAAGGUCGGACAACUUGGUAUUAACGAGCUUCUUCUUCUGACUUUCAAUUUUGAAACCAUGGAAUCCAAUGGAGUUUGAUUGAAGCCGUGUUGGUUUCGGGCUUUCCGACCUCGAUUCGAGGUUCCGGUUUGUAAUUUCGGUAGCCCGAUUAACUUGCAAUUUUCAGCUUUGUUCAUCAAUAAAGGUCCUUUCUCUUGUUCUUUACUUUGUUCAAUAGCUUCACUCUCCUAUUUUAGAUUUAUAAAAGGCAUGUGAUAUUUUUGCUAUUUUCCAGCCCUUCCGUGUUUCUUUGUAAAAUUGAUGGACAUGUUAGAUUUUAUUCUUAAGUGGUAAUGUCACGCACGGUUUAGAAUUUGGAUGUUUAGUUUAUUCUCAUAAUUUUGUUAAUUUAGUACUUAAUGUUUGAGUGAUAGAUAAUUUAAUGAAUAGAGCUUUCAUUUAUAUAGGUUUGAUUUGGAACUGACUAAUUAAAAUGUGUAUUCUUAUUCCUUCCAAAGCUUUAAACUCACCUUUUGCACUAAAUAUUUAUUGAUAGUUAUCAUUAUGUGUUUAUUUGAGUUGUCUAAUUGUUCAUCUGUUGUUAGAAAGGAAUAAAGAGAAGUUCUUUUCAUGGGGUCAAUGACUUUGUUAUAUAAUUUGGAUUUAGUACGUCCCUUUUAAGUGGCAAUUGAAUCUACAAGUGUAGACAACUUGUGAAUAAUACUAAAUAGCUAAGUUUUACACUUCUUUCGGAAUUCCAUAUUCAUUAAUCAAGGACUUCACAAACAAUAUCAAGCAAGCUUCGGAAAUAAUCACUUAUAAAUACAUCGUAACUUGCUUUAGGCGCGAUUAAUAAAUCAUCGUGACUAUGGAUAUGGUUCUCGUGACAUAGUUAUGAUACUUAAUUCCCAAAUUCGGGGGUGCAUUUCAUGUAACCCGAUCAUAACAACUUUGAAUUUUAAUAAAAAAAUAAACAUGUGGCGAAUCGCGGGUGCAUUUCAUGUAGCUUGGUUUGCGGCGUGUUCCAAAACGGCAAGUGUACGACAAUCAUAACUUGUUCAAGAAAUAAUUCCAUAAAUCCUAAAAAAGCGGUUUAAAAUAAUUAAAAGCGGAUAUAAAGUUAAAAAUGCACAAUAGGUUUAAAACAUGUAAUAAAUCAGAUAAUAGGCCAAUUAUUAAUAGUUUAACCGACUGUGCUAGAACCACGGAACCCGAGAAUGCCUAACACCUUCUCCCUGGUUAACAGAAUUUCUUAUCUAGAAUUUCUGGUUCGCAGACUUUUAAAUAAAGUCGAAAAUUUCCUCGAUUUGGGAUUUAAAAUAAACCGGUGACUUGGGACACCAUAAUAAAUAUCCCAAGUGGCGACUCUGAAAUAAAUAAAAAUAAUCCCAUUUAGAAUAAUGUCACUUUAAUUGGAAAAACUCCGUUAUAUCCCCUCGGGUGGUAAAAAGGAGGUGUGACAAUAAUAACAUACAAAAACAUUGGCGGCGCAGCCAAUCUCAAACCGCUUCGAGAUUUAAGGCAGUUGAGCACCCACAACUUAAAAAUACUAGGUGGAGAACAAACACAGUUGUAGUUCAGCCUCUCCUAAUUGAGCUACACUUUAGUCCUACAGCACGUUCUAUACAUGUCGAUAUGCAUACAUGUAAAAGAGAAACCACAAUGAUCGGAUUGAUUGUGCUCAAAUUCUAUGUCGUUUUAAGGAAAAAAUGGAAUCACUAUCUCUUAAUUUGCUUUUUUUCUACCUUUACAGCUCGCAGUCCCAGUUCAUGAUGAUAGAGAACAAGAUAGCAAGCGAGUACUUUUGGUCACUUCUACUACCGAUUAAGAGCAAAAAAAAUCUGCCAAG